UAGAAAAAUCCACCUGCUGCUACUGGUCACAUGACCAGAUGAAGCCUCCUGCAGGAAAAAGAUUUGAAGCUUCGAGGCCUCAGUCUUGAGGAGUAACAGCGACAUCUGGUGGCCAACCAAAACAUGGCGAGAAGACAAGAUGACCCCAGAGAAUUCAUCAAAGCCUUUCUGGGGCCAAAUGGUGAUCUACAGUCACUAGAGUGGGUUCAAGUAUUUAUCAGACUCAUGGAGGUCUGUGAUGAGACAGCCAGCAGAUGCGUAUACCUUAACAUCUUGGUGCACACCGAGUCUGACAGCGUUCUGAACAGGCAGWGACUAACUUCCACAUAUUCAUCACUGCUGGCGGCUAUUCGCUCCUCAAUUCCUGGCUGGUGUACUCGACRUCUACGAACGACACGACUCUGCUUCGAGGAAUCCUGCGUGUGCUGAAAAAGCUGCCUCUUACAGUGGAACAUCUCAAAAUGAACACAAUGGCCAGGUUGGUGUGGCAGCUUAGCAAAAGGUCAGAGAUUGGAG
This is a long non-coding RNA of Austrofundulus limnaeus, 516 nucleotides long. RefSeq lists it as uncharacterized. The record is from RefSeq and is a predicted model, not a curated record. NCBI's taxonomy places the organism in Eukaryota, Metazoa, Chordata, Actinopteri, Cyprinodontiformes, Rivulidae. The transcript has 5 exons.